CACGUAGGGUGCGAGCGUUGUCCGGAAUUAUUGGGCGUAAAGAGCUCGUAGGCGGUGUGUCGCGUCGGCCGUGAAAACCUGCAGCUUAACUGUGGGCUUGCGGUCGAUACGGGCAUCACUGGAGUUCGGCAGGGGAGACUGGAAUUCCUGGUGUAGCGGUGAAAUGCGCAGAUAUCAGGAGGAACACCGAUGGCGAAGGCAGGUCUCUGGGCCGAUACUGACGCUGAGGAGCGAAAGCGUGGGGAGCGAACAGGA
Molecule: ribosomal RNA, 255 nt
Filed under: uncultured bacterium
Lineage: Bacteria
Description: partial 16S ribosomal RNA
Rfam family: Bacterial small subunit ribosomal RNA
Source: RNAcentral